Molecule: long non-coding RNA, 1891 nt
Organism: Cavia porcellus (domestic guinea pig)
Lineage: Eukaryota; Metazoa; Chordata; Mammalia; Rodentia; Caviidae
Source: Ensembl
AUGGACAAUUGUAUCUCCUUCCCAGCACCAAAGCCCCAGGAGAGAAUCUCAUUGGGUGAGUUUACUCACGUGACCGUCUCUGGACCAAUCACUGUAGCAGAACCUGCGCACCUUGGAGGCAGGAGGCCUGGGCCACUCCCCAACCUCCUGGAUCCCAGGGGAGGAUGUUCUCCAGCAGGAAGUGGGGGGAGGGGCGACAGUGUCCCCUUCCACUGGCAAGCCAGCUCACCUGGCAGGUCAGUGACCGCAGGACGAGGCGCCCCCGCCCCGGACUCACGCUCCUCCUCUGCAAAAUGGGCUGCAGGCUGUUUAAAUUCCAGCAUUCCAGAAUUCUGGGACAGCUUCCAAAGCUGGAGGCUGCUCUUAAAUCCCAGGAACGUUCCGGUACUUCUGGGGACGGAAGUGGAGAGUCAGCCAGAGCCUUUCCCGGCCCCGGCCUGGGAACCUGCUUACAAGAUGACAAUUGGGUCCCUUUGGCCGAAAUUCCACUCCCGUGGGGGCCUUGCCAAGGAAAACAAGCCCAAGGACCGGGCACUAAAGGCAAAGCACAGAGUAUGCUAGCAGAGGCCAGACAGCCCGUCAACACACAUUAGACCCACGUCGCCGUGACGGCCACUCUGCCAAGACAGCUGCGCGACUGUCCCAUCUCAUGGAUGAGGAAACUGAGGCACGGGCUGACCAGGCAUGCCUGGCCCUGAAGACCUGCAGCCAGAUGCGUGGCCCCCACAUGCACAGGGGACUGCACAGAGGUCCUCGCCUGGUGACUUUACAGAGCAGAAAAGCCAAGGCCCAGAGACAGCAUGUGACCUACCCAAGGUCACACGGCAGGCACAUGGAGGCACAGGCCCAGCCUCACCCCUGGACCAGCCAUUGAGUAGAGAGUCCACUGAGGGGAGUCCCAGCCCGCCAGGGGCACAGGCCUCCCUCCCCGACCCUCAGUUUUCUACCUCUGGCUCACCUGCACUUACAGCUAGAGAGGCCCAAGAAAAGCUAGCCAGACCAUGUCCCUCCCCUGCUCAGAACCUUCCGUGUCCCCUACCUCCUAUGAAACAAAAGCUAAAAUCCUUGUAACAGCACAAGGUCCUGCACAGUCAUCUCCACACCCCUGCCUCUCUUUCCCUCCAUCACUGUGGCCCACCACACCAGCAUCUCCAAAUGCACCCAGACAAGCCUUCCAUGAGUCUGCCACAGGGCCUUUGCACUUGCUGUUCACUCCCUGGAACACUCUCCUACUAUGGUUCCAUCCCUGUAUCUCAUGGCUCAGAUGUCACCUGCUCCCUCAAGCUGUCCCCCGCCCACUUGUUUCGACCCCCUCUCCCUUUUCUGCCUUAUUUCUCUGAAUAGUACCAACCUGUGUAAUAUGCAGCUUAUUUAUCUUGUUUAUUGACUGCUUGAUCUAUGAAAGUGUGACAUUCAUGGGGCAGAGACAUCUGACAAUCUAAAGCAUGCUGGUGCCCAGCACUGACUCACAGGAAAUGUUUAAUAAAUAUCUGUUCAAUCAAUGGAUUUCCUUUUCCUCAGAAAAUCUGGUGAGGGCUUGUCUGGGGCUGGGCUUGUCAUGACCUUUCUUUCCGGACAGAGAAGUAACUUGCUCGGGGUCACCAGCUUUCCAAAUGAGAGGUCAGUCUGGCCCCAGAAUCAGUAAUUUUUGUCUCUGCUCCAGACCUCCACUUACCAAGAAUCAACACAGGCAGCUGCCUGCUGGGGUCUCUGCUUAGAGAGCUCAGAGAGGUUGGGUGACCAGCCCUGGAGACACAGCCUCUCCAGGCAGGAACGCAGGUCUUCAGGGUGUUCUGCCCAGCUCCUCCAGCCCACCCCUCAGCCAGUACCAUGGUAGUCAGGACCCAGGGCCCACUGCUUGUGGCCUGGACAUUCCCCAACCCACCCCACC